GGCGACCGGCGCACGGGUGAGUAACACGUAUCCAACCUACCGAUAACUCCGGAAUAGCCUUUCGAAAGAAAGAUUAAUACCGGAUAGCAUACGAAUAUCGCAUGAUAUUUUUAUUUAAAGAAUUUCGGUCAUCGAUGGGGAUGCGUUCCAUUAGGUUGUUGGUGGGGUAACGGCCUACCAAGCCGACGAUCAGUAGCCGACCUGAGAGGGUGACCGGCCACAUUGGGACUGAGACACGGACCAGACUCCUACGGGAGGCAGCAUG
Molecule: ribosomal RNA, 265 nt
Filed under: uncultured bacterium
Lineage: Bacteria
Description: partial 16S ribosomal RNA
Rfam family: Bacterial small subunit ribosomal RNA
Source: RNAcentral